AGUGAGUGAGUAGUUCGCUGAGUUACUAAAGGGUAUGCGUAUUUGCGUACCAGCAGGCUUGCCCUGUGGGUACCUUUAGUCAGGGGAAAGCUCACUUUUUA
Molecule: non-coding RNA, 101 nt
Submitted as: unclassified sequences
Source: Rfam